UCGAAGUUUGGGAUAACAGUUCGAAAGGACUGCUAAUACCGGAUGUGAUCGCGGAGAUUAGAGGCUCUGUGAUUAAAGGAGAAAUUCGCUUCGAGAGGGGCCUGCGUCCCAUCAGCUAGUUGGUAAGGUAAAGGCUUACCAAGGCGAUGACGGGUAGGGACCUGAGAGGUGGCCCCCCACAAUGGAACUGAAACACGGUCCAUACACCUACGGGUGGCAGCAGUAGGGAAUAUUGCAUAAUGGGCGAAAGCCUGAUGCAGCAACGCCGCGUGUGCGAUGAAGGCCUUCGGGUCGUAAAGCACUUUUGGAGGGGAUGAGGAAGGACAGUACCCUUCGAAUAAGCUUCGGCUAACUACGUG
This 359-nucleotide ribosomal RNA is filed under the name uncultured bacterium. RNAcentral describes it as "bacterial SSU rRNA". It matches the Rfam family "Bacterial small subunit ribosomal RNA", at positions 131 to 507 of the family's 1533-position model. The record is from RNAcentral.